This 3255-nucleotide long non-coding RNA is filed under the name Oncorhynchus mykiss (rainbow trout). RNAcentral's name for it is "lncRNA (ENSOMYG00000077652.1)". The record is from RNAcentral. Lineage: Eukaryota; Metazoa; Chordata; Actinopteri; Salmoniformes; Salmonidae.
GUGCAGAUGGUAGCAGCCUAAAUGAUGGAUGGGGAACACCAGGAAGAGAAUCCUUUACACGAGAAAGGAAAUCCUCUACACAAUGAAGAGAAGACUUCAAGUGAUGUGGAGAAGACUUUAUAUGACAUGGAGAGAGCUUUAUGUGACAUAAAAAAUAGUGCUGAAGAGAACAGUUCAAGUGAUGAUAACAGUUCAGGUGAUGAAGUAGAAGAACAAAGACUGGAUUCAAACCUCCCAAGUGGUUCAGAUCCUCUUCCAUCUAAUGCAGAAAGCCCCUGCGAUAAUAGUGAAUCUGAGCCGUCCCCCCAAAAAGCAGCACAAGCUAAAAAAACUUGCCUCAAGAAGUUUGCGCCACGGAAAGGCACAAGGUCAAGCCUACGUUCCAGCACAAAAUUGACAGUCAGUGCAUGUGAUACGACAGAUGAUGGUAAAAGAAAAUUGGACAAAAAGCACUUCUGCCUGUAUUGCAGUGAACCACACCACAACAUUGCAAGACAUUUAGAAAGGAUGCACGCAGAAGAAGCAGCUGUUGGUCAUGCUAUCAGCUUCCCAAAACUCUCCAAAAUCAGGUCUCUGUUGCUUGACCAACUCCGUAACAAAGGCAACUAUCAACACAACUUUGAAGUUCUUCAAAGUGGAGCUGGGGAAAUUGUGAGAAAGUGUAGACCAUCUAACGAUGGCGUUUCUGUGCGUGACUGCCUGCCCUGCCAACACUGCUUAGCUUUUUUCUCCAAAAUUGAUUUAUGGAAGCAUGAGAGCUCAUGUAAUGCCAGAAAAGGACAAGAUGAAAUGAGGGGAGGAAAAAGAGUGAGGAUCCAGGCUGCGUCCUCUCAACUUGUUCCAUUGCCUGUCUAUUCUACUGGAGGAUAUGAAGAAAUAAUACACAAUAUGAAUCAAGAUGACAUCUCAUGCCACAUCAAAAAUGAUCCCCUCAUAUGUAAAUAUGGCAAUGCACUAUCUGCAAAGCAUGGUCAUGCCAAGUCACAGUUUACUUACAUUGGUUCAAAAAUGAGGGAAUUGGCUAGAUUUGUACUUGCUGUAAAUGAGAUGGACUGUGGUGUUCAAUAUCUGCAUGAAGUAUGUGUACCAUCCAAAUUCAAAUUGGCCGUUCAUGCUGCCAGGAAAAUGAGUGGUCAUGACCCUGCCUCCGACAGGUACAAGACCCCAUCUCUUGCUUUAAAGAUUGGCUAUUCCUUGAAAAGAGCUACCGAAAUAGCUUUUGGGGAGAGUCGUAUGACAGAGAACCGUGAGGCAGAGGAACAAGCCAAAAGGUUCAUUGAACUUCUUGAAAACGAUUGGAAUAACUGUUUUUCCGGUCUAUCCCUCAGCGCUGUCCCUCAGUGUGAUGAAGUUGAUGUGUCUUCACUAACUGAGGAUUUGAUCAAACUUCAGAAGUUUCUCAAGGUUGCAGAGGACACAGCGAAGAAAGAAUUGCUGGAGAACCCCACCAACACUGUCUGGAAAAAGCUCAAUGAAACUCUUCUUGCAGAAAUAGCUCUCUUCAACAGAAAAAGGACAGGCGAAGUUGCGAAAAUGCUGUUGGAAACAUACACAAACAGGAAGAAAUCUCCAGCUAGUGCAGACAUUUUCAAUAACCUCUCAAGGCUGGAGCAGGAGCUUGGAGACGACAAAUUAACCAGGUUGGAAAUAGAAGGCAAAAAUGGUAGGAAAAUGCCAGUCCUACUAACGGAGAGGAUGAUCUCAUCUCUUGAGAUCCUUAUUGCAAACAGAGACAAAGUUGGUGUGUCAAAGGACAACCCUUAUGUCUUUGCACGUAGCCUGGAUGCAGCAAGCUACAUCAGAGGGUUUGACUGUCUGAGGAAGUGUGCACAUGAGUGUGAUGCAAAGAAUCCUGAAAGUCUGAUCCAUGCGACAGUGAGGAAAGAGGUUGCUAUCCAUUGCCAACUACUAAACUUGAAUGAAAGUGAAUUGGAUCAGGUGGCAAAGUUAUUGGGACAUGACACCCAGGUCCAUAAAGAGUACUACAGGCUCUCUGAAAAUGCUGCACAUCUAGCAGAAAUCAGCAAACUGCUGCUUGCAAUGGAUCAGGUUUCAGUGGUAAUUCCAGGGCCAUCUGAGGAAAGGGUUGUUUCUCCUACAUAUGGGACAUCUUCUGCAGGGACAUACCCAGCUGGGACAGAUACUGGAAGGACAUAUCCUACCGAGACAUGUCCUACUGGGUCAUCAUAUCCUACAGAGACAUAUUCAGCGAAGUCAUAUACUGUGGAGGCACAGCCUUCAAGGUCAUAUCAUGCUGGGACAUAUCCUGAGAAGUCAUAUCCUUCAGGAUCACAUUCUGCGAGGUCAUAUUCUGCAGGGAAAGAUUCUGCGAGAGCAUAUCCUACCGUGACACAUCCUGCAGGGACCGAUCCAGCAGGUUCAUAUGUUGCAGGGACAUAUACUGCAGGCACUCACCAUGCAAGAUCAUAUCCUGCAAGUCCUUAUGGCCUUUCAUCUCCUGCAACAUCAUAUGCUUCGGGGACUAAUCCUGCAAGUUCAUAUCCUGCACAAACACUUCCAGCGCGUACAGUUAUUACGCCAACACUUCAUGCACAGACACUUCCUGUCAGGACAGUUCCUGCGAGGACAAGUCCUGUGAGGCCGUGGAGUGAUGCGGCUAAGGCUGCGGUAAAGCGUCAGUUGGGACACUUUAUCUCAAUGAUGAAGGUUCCAGGUAAACGGGACUGUGAAGUAUGCCUCCACAAUGAACCAGCUGUACGAGACAGGACAUGGAGAGACAUCAAAAACUAUGUGCACAACACAGUAAAAUCUAUUAAAAGGAAGAAGGGCCGUACAGGAGUGGACCCCAGAAAAUGGACAAAGAAAGAAUCGGCAAAGAUUGCUAAGGAAGAGGUUGGUGGAACAAGGACUGUACCUGCACAGAGUGAAGACGAGAGACUAGAGGCAGGUCCUGUUGCUGUGACAACACAAAGGAAGCAGAAGAUAUGGAGUGAUGAGGCUCAGGCUGCGGUCAGGCGGCAGCUAGGAGACUUCACUAAACUGAUGAAGAUUCCAGGUAAAACGGAAUGUGAUGCAUGUAUUGCAGCUGAACCAGUUCUACAAGGCAGGACAUGGAAAGAUGUAAAAAACUAUGUGCAUAACACAUUAAUGACAAUGUGCAGGAGGCAUAUUUCAGGCAAGCAAAACAUGGACCAUGAAAAACAAAGUCCAGGGACACAGAAACCAGGGAUGCAACAGAAACCAAAGGUGCCGUUGGGACUUCCAGAAGAUCUUCCUGUUUAUCUGUACUUAUGA